This 76-nucleotide transfer RNA is filed under the name Caudoviricetes sp. RNAcentral's name for it is "tRNA-Asp". It matches the Rfam family "tRNA". From Rfam's summary of the family: Transfer RNA (tRNA) molecules are approximately 80 nucleotides in length. Their secondary structure includes four short double-helical elements and three loops (D, anti-codon, and T loops). Further hydrogen bonds mediate the characteristic L-shaped molecular structure. tRNAs have two regions of fundamental functional importance: the anti-codon, which is responsible for specific mRNA codon recognition, and the 3' end, to which the tRNAs corresponding amino acid is attached (by aminoacyl-tRNA synthetases). tRNAs cope with the degeneracy of the genetic code in two manners: having more than one tRNA (with a specific anti-codon) for a particular amino acid; and 'wobble' base-pairing, i.e. permitting non-standard base-pairing at the 3rd anti-codon position. The record is from RNAcentral. Lineage: Duplodnaviria; Heunggongvirae; Uroviricota; Caudoviricetes.
GGUUCUGUCGAUUAACUGGUUAAGUCAGUAGCCUGUCACGCUACAGUUACGGGUUCGAGUCCCGUCGGAAUCGCCA